Molecule: ribosomal RNA, 1055 nt
Filed under: Staphylococcus sp.
Lineage: Bacteria; Bacillati; Bacillota; Bacilli; Caryophanales; Staphylococcaceae
Description: bacterial SSU rRNA
Rfam family: Bacterial small subunit ribosomal RNA
Source: RNAcentral
UCGAGCGAACAGACGAGGAGCUUGCUCCUCUGACGUUAGCGGCGGACGGGUGAGUAACACGUGGAUAACCUACCUAUAAGACUGGGAUAACUUCGGGAAACCGGAGCUAAUACCGGAUAACAUGUUGAACCGCAUGGUUCAACAGUGAAAGACGGUCUUGCUGUCACUUAUAGAUGGAUCCGCGCCGCAUUAGCUAGUUGGUAAGGUAACGGCUUACCAAGGCAACGAUGCGUAGCCGACCUGAGAGGGUGAUCGGCCACACUGGAACUGAGACACGGUCCAGACUCCUACGGGAGGCAGCAGUAGGGAAUCUUCCGCAAUGGGCGAAAGCCUGACGGAGCAACGCCGCGUGAGUGAAGAAGGUCUUCGGAUCGUAAAACUCUGUUAUUAGGGAAGAACAAAUGUGUAAGUAACUAUGCACGUCUUGACGGUACCUAAUCAGAAAGCCACGGCUAACUACGUGCCAGCAGCCGCGGUAAUACGUAGGUGGCAAGCGUUAUCCGGAAUUAUUGGGCGUAAAGCGCGCGUAGGCGGUUUUUUAAGUCUGAUGUGAAAGCCCACGGCUCAACCGUGGAGGGUCAUUGGAAACUGGAAAACUUGAGUGCAGAAGAGGAAAGUGGAAUUCCAUGUGUAGCGGUGAAAUGCGCAGAGAUAUGGAGGAACACCAGUGGCGAAGGCGACUUUCUGGUCUGUAACUGACGCUGAUGUGCGAAAGCGUGGGGAUCAAACAGGAUUAGAUACCCUGGUAGUCCACGCCGUAAACGAUGAGUGCUAAGUGUUAGGGGGUUUCCGCCCCUUAGUGCUGCAGCUAACGCAUUAAGCACUCCGCCUGGGGAGUACGACCGCAAGGUUGAAACUCAAAGGAAUUGACGGGGACCCGCACAAGCGGUGGAGCAUGUGGUUUAAUUUCGAAGCAACGCGAAGACCCUUACCAAAUCUUGACAUCCUCUGACCCCUCUAGAGAUAGAGUUUUUCCCCUUCGGGGACAGAGUGACAGGUGGUGCAUGCUUGUCGUCAGCUCGUGUCGUGAGAUGUUGGUUAGUCCCGCAACGAGC